CUUAGAGAAUUUUGGUUUAGUCCUCUCCCCAGUUUAAACUUGCUGUGCAAGCUGACUCAAAGAAAUCUGAUAAAAUGGAGAUUCUGUAAACAUGGUGACUCAAGCACACUGAGUAUACAGGAGCCACUGCGUAACAUUGAAUGUGUUUCCCAAACAUGGAAGGGGAAAGAAAGAGAAGAAGAGGCAGCCACACCUAAUGGAAAUGAACCAGAUGGUUAUCAAAAGCAUACAGCACUUUCAAGAGGCAGAAAAAGAGAAAAUACAGAAGAGGAUCAGUGGGAGGGAAGAUGGGUGCUAAAGCUGAGCAA
This 308-nucleotide long non-coding RNA is filed under the name Homo sapiens (human). Its description in RNAcentral is "HSALNT0112326". The record is from RNAcentral. Lineage: Eukaryota; Metazoa; Chordata; Mammalia; Primates; Hominidae.